AGCAGCCGCGGUAAUUCCAGCUCCAAUAGCGUAUAUUAAAGUUGUUGCAGUUAAAAAGCUCGUAGUUGAAUUUCGGGACCAAUUUGUUGGUCGUGCCUCGGUACGUACUGGUAUUAUUGGUUUCUCCCUUCUGAAGAACCUCGAUGCCAUUAAUUUGGUGUCGUGGGGAAUCAGGACUGUUACUUUGAAAAAAUUAGAGUGUUUAAAGCAAGCAUACGCUUGAAUACAUUAGCAUGGAAUAAUGAAAUAGGACGUUUGAUUCUAUUUUGUUGGUUUCUAGGAUCGACGUAAUGAUUAAUAGGGAUAGUUGGGGGCAUUAGUAUUCAAUUGUCAGAGAUGAAAUUCUUGGAUUUAUUGAGACUGACUACUGCGAAAGCAUUUGCCAAGGAUGUUUUCUAUUAAUCAAAGAACGAAAGUUAGGGGAAUCGAAAGACGAUCAGAUACCGUCGUAGUCUUAACCAUAAACUAUGCCGACCUAGGGAUCGGAUGAUGUUAAUUUUUUAAUUGACUCUAUUCGGCG
RNAcentral lists this ribosomal RNA (520 nucleotides) under uncultured Glomus. RNAcentral's name for it is "SSU rRNA". It matches the Rfam family "Eukaryotic small subunit ribosomal RNA", at positions 569 to 1085 of the family's 1831-position model. Lineage: Eukaryota; Fungi; Glomeromycota; Glomeromycetes; Glomerales; Glomeraceae. The record is from RNAcentral.